Molecule: long non-coding RNA, 599 nt
Organism: Oxyura jamaicensis (ruddy duck)
Lineage: Eukaryota; Metazoa; Chordata; Aves; Anseriformes; Anatidae
Exons: 4
Source: RefSeq, a predicted model, not a curated record
UGACAGCUUAGGGUCAAGAGAACUUGCCUGGGAAGUGAAACACCCAAGUUUAAUUCCUUCUUCAUUCUCUAGGUUUCAAAGACCUAUCUCUUGCCUCCCCUGGGAGCAACUGAGAGGAUCUUGGCUGAUGAGAGGCAGUAAUAUUUCCAAGUAAAUAGGAGAUGGGCCAAGCAGUUCCCUCUGAAUUACUGUUCAUCAGGCUUUCACACUCUAUUAAGUCACACAGCCAAACAGAUCUUUGCUGGCAUCUAGAAGACUCAUGCAGAGAAGCAAGGAGCUGGAAGGAUAAGAUGGGAAAAAUUAUAAUGUCUGAAGAAUAAUUAGUUUGUGGAUGCAGAACUAGAAGAUACUAAGGAGAAACACAUUUUCUGAAAACUAAUGCUGAAGGUCAUGUCCUCAAUGUACUUGUGUUUUUCUUUCUAGUGCAACUGGGGGUGAAAUGACACAGGUCAAUAUUGGGAAUUGAUAUUGAAAUUCUUGCCUAACUUUUGUUUCUCUGAGCAUUCUGCUGAGUUCUGGGUGGCUGUCCACAGUGGCAGAAGGGAGCAAAUCUGUUGUCCUGCUCCAGCCCUUGAAGAUCUUUAAGUCCAUGUGAAAUU